UGGAUAGAUGGGCAAACCUGUUGAAAAGCAGGGACGCAAAGCCAAGGGUCUUCAUCAUGAUGAUAUGACAGCCGGUUGCACCG
RNAcentral lists this non-coding RNA (83 nucleotides) under Salisediminibacterium selenitireducens. Its description in RNAcentral is "Bacillus selenitireducens c-di-GMP sequence". It matches the Rfam family "c-di-GMP-I riboswitch aptamer". From Rfam's summary of the family: GEMM was predicted in a large-scale screen for bacterial structured RNA regulatory elements. The record is from RNAcentral. Lineage: Bacteria; Bacillati; Bacillota; Bacilli; Caryophanales; Bacillaceae.